Molecule: long non-coding RNA, 408 nt
Filed under: Brassica rapa (field mustard)
Lineage: Eukaryota; Viridiplantae; Streptophyta; Magnoliopsida; Brassicales; Brassicaceae
Description: long non-coding RNA (BRAP_LNC004682)
Source: RNAcentral
UGGGGAGAUAUUCAGUCUAGAGACGAAGAAAGACCACACUUGCAUAUUGUAGUCACGAUAAAAAAAAAGAGAUGAUGUCUGAUCUCAUUGUAGCCAACGCACAACACACAAGUUGGAGGCACCGUCAGACCCCUACGAAGGAGUCUAUCUCGUGUAACCAUCCUAUCUCUUGCUGCCACCCAAGAAAGGAACACAUGUUUCGGGAUACGCCCUGAUAACCAGACAACCUUGUGCCAAAAUACUUCCAUCGUGCAAGGAAAUAAAACCUUCCAAGUCUCACUAGUGGAGAAUGUCUCUAAACCGCUGGCCAUUAGUAAGCCAAAUAUAUGUAUCAUCCACUUCUGAAUCUUGUAUUUGUGCUCUAAAGUUUGAUUUAGUUAUGCUGGUUAUAGCCAGUGUAUGUAGAGU